RNAcentral lists this ribosomal RNA (418 nucleotides) under uncultured bacterium. RNAcentral describes it as "bacterial SSU rRNA". It matches the Rfam family "Bacterial small subunit ribosomal RNA", at positions 361 to 776 of the family's 1533-position model. The record is from RNAcentral.
AUAUUGGACAAUGGGUGAGAGCCUGAUCCAGCCAUCCCGCGUGCAGGAAGACGGCCCUAUGGGUUGUAAACUGCUUUUAUAUGGGAAUAAACCAUCCGACGUGUCGGAUGUUGAAGGUACCAUAUGAAUAAGCACCGGCUAACUCCGUUCCAGCAGCCGCGGUAAUACGGAGGGUGCAAGCGUUAUCCGGAUUUAUUGGGUUUAAAGGGUCCGCAGGCGGACUUGUAAGUCAGGGGUGAAAGCCGGCAGCUUAACUGUCGAACUGCCUUUGAUACUGCAAGUCUUGAGUGAGGUUGAAGUAGCUGGAAUGAGUAGUGUAGCGGUGAAAUGCAUAGAUAUUACUCGGAACACCAAUUGCGAAGGCAGGUUACUAAGUCUUAACUGACGCUGAGGGACGAAAGCGUGGGGAGCGAACAGG